GUUGACAUGUCAUCACUUCAUUUUUUUGCGCCUGCGCAUAAAUCUGAGAAACGUGAGUUUGUCAUCAUUUUUUAUCUAGACAUAGGAUAGGUUGUGUGAAAAUAUUACUGAUGUUUAACGUUAAAAAUGGACCAAAAGAUUAAUGCUAAACAACAUUUGACAUGUUUGAACGAACAUAAAUAGAUUAUUUACUAGGUUUUUUUAGCUUUUCGGCGUGAUUUUACCAGCCCCCCAACCACGUUUUGUGGGAGCAUAAUGAACGCUAAGUACUUGGUGUUAUUUGGACAUAAAUUAUGAACUUUGUCAAAAGAAACCACAUUUGUUCCGGACCUGGAAUGCCUUCCGGACCUGGGAUCCUGCCUUCUGAUGGAGAUAAUCAAAGGCCGGUGGUGGCUGGUCCACUCCAGGAGUCUGAGGUGCGGGAGGUUCCUCCACCCCCUCUGGACAUCGAGG
This 453-nucleotide long non-coding RNA is filed under the name Salmo salar (Atlantic salmon). RNAcentral's name for it is "lncRNA (ENSSSAG00000095359.1)". The record is from RNAcentral. Lineage: Eukaryota; Metazoa; Chordata; Actinopteri; Salmoniformes; Salmonidae.